CCUACGCGAGGCAGCAGUCGGGAAUAUUGCGCAAUGGAGGAAACUCUGACGCCGUGACGCCGCGUGCAGGAAGAAGGUUUUCGGAUUGUAAACUGCUUUAGACAGGGGAGAAACAAGACAGUACCUGUAAAAUAAGCUCCGGCUAACUAAGUGACAGCCGCCGCGGUACUACGUAGGGAGCACGCGUUAUCCGGUUUUAUGAGGUGUAAAGGGUGCGUAGACGGGACGUCAAGUUGGUGGUGAAAUCCCUCGGCUUAACUGAGGAACUGCAACCAAAACUAACUUUCUUGAGUGCUGGAGAGGAAAGUGGAAUUCCCAGUGUAGCGGUGAAAUGCGUAGAUAUUAGGAGGAACACCAGUGGCGAAGGCGACUUUCUGGACAGUAACUGACGUUGAGGCACGAAAGUGUGGGGAGCAAACAGGAUUAGAUACCCGAGUAGUC
RNAcentral lists this ribosomal RNA (441 nucleotides) under uncultured bacterium. Its description in RNAcentral is "partial 16S ribosomal RNA". It matches the Rfam family "Bacterial small subunit ribosomal RNA", at positions 338 to 795 of the family's 1533-position model. The record is from RNAcentral.